UCUUUCUUAAAGCAUGAACCUUCUCCCUCUGCCACUGGAGAUAUAAAUGGCAUGUUUUCUGUCUCCCAAAUCUAAUAGUCUAAUGGGAAGAUGAUCAUAGAAAGAACUAUCUGUGAUAUAGGUGAUAAAGACCAUUAUAAGGGGACUGAGUAUGAGGCCUCUCUUCCUUCUCUGCCCUGGUGAAUGACUGCUAAAGGAAUUUAAAGCAUGUAAAACACGAUAAAUGUUGAUUUGUUGCCUUGGCCUUCUUGCAGAGCCAUGAUCUGCUUUACAAAAUUCUGUUUGCCUGCUAGAGCUAUGUGGAGAAGCCACGUAAGAGGGAGAGGCCGUGAGAGACAAGCCUGGUCGUCCCAGCAUCCCGGCCAAGUCCAGGUCCCUGAUGACCUACCAGCUGGAUAAUCCACAUAGGCAG
Non-coding RNA from Odocoileus virginianus texanus, 412 nucleotides. The record is from RefSeq and is a predicted model, not a curated record. Lineage: Eukaryota; Metazoa; Chordata; Mammalia; Artiodactyla; Cervidae.